ACGAAGGCUAUGAUAAAGGGUAGUAGUAAGACUGUUGCAUUUCAGAGAAUUGGCGGUUGGUGCAAGCCAAUAAUGCAAAUCCUUAUGAACUCACUUUAUCGCUCUGUAAGUGAACUCUUGAGUAGCUUAUAGCGUUUUGUCCGCGUUAAGGAUCAUGAAGUGAGGGUUGUUUUGUAAUCCUAACUAGGGUGGUACCGCGAGAAGAAAUCAAACCUCUCGUCCCUAGC
This 227-nucleotide non-coding RNA is filed under the name Thermoactinomyces sp. RNAcentral describes it as "T-box sequence". It matches the Rfam family "T-box leader". Rfam says of the family: Uncharged tRNA acts as the effector for transcription antitermination of genes in the T-box leader family. T-boxes are found upstream of many aminoacyl-tRNA synthetase genes and some amino acid biosynthetic genes usually in Gram-positive bacteria. The anticodon of a specific tRNA base pairs to a specifier sequence within the T-box motif, and the NCCA acceptor tail of the tRNA base pairs to a conserved bulge in the T-box antiterminator hairpin. Lineage: Bacteria; Bacillati; Bacillota; Bacilli; Caryophanales; Thermoactinomycetaceae. The record is from RNAcentral.